This is a long non-coding RNA of Cyprinus carpio carpio, 658 nucleotides long. The record is from Ensembl. Lineage: Eukaryota; Metazoa; Chordata; Actinopteri; Cypriniformes; Cyprinidae.
AGAGCCCUUACGAUGGGAACUGACCCACAAUGCAACUCUUCCAGCUGGGUUGAAAUGCAGGAAGUGGCUUCUCGCAGGCCUCUCCCUCUGCUGCAGUCAACAGGACAUGCUCUGAGGAUAUGGGAUCAUGCAGAGCCUUUCUGCGACGACUCCUGGUGGGCAAUGGCGCCUAUUAACACAAACAGCGGACUGUGUGUAGAGCUCUGGGGCCAUUUUAAAAGGCAAUCAUAUGGGCUGUAAACGCAUACUGAAGUCCUCUUAUAUGACAACGAGAACCAUCUAUUUAAAUUGACUUUACAGUGCAAAGACCGUUUUACUGCCACCGUGCCAGCAAAGUCUCCAAGAUCUAGCAUCAGAAUAUGGAGUAAGUCAGGCUUUGGCUUAAUGUCCUGGGACAUCGAGUAACCACAGGCUAAUGAGAUGGCCGAACCCUAGACGCUUGACACAGAAUUCAAUUAGACAGCACUCUCACUACCUUUUACAGAGAUGAAUACUGCAGACAUUUCAUCCAUAAAUUUCUUACCUGGCAAAAACGUCCACUGCGAUGUUGUCCUGACUGCGCUGGAGUUCAUGAUGAUGGGAUGUCUACUGUACUUUGAGACCCAUGAAAACCUUCUCCAACAAGCUCCAGUGAGGGAUUUAGAAAGGUACUUGACAG